GUAAUUGCUGAAGGCUUCUCUCCAGUCAAAAACAGCUCUUACUAGUGUCUUCCUUGCCAAGAAUGAGAUCAAGGAUGCUGCAGCACCAAAUUGAAACUGUGUUGGAUAUAUGAUCUAUUCUAAUGCUAAUCAACGCAGUUUUGAGGGAGGUGACAUUUAGCUAUUUACCAUUGUCAAAUGCCAUGCCGUCCCUUCUAUAUAAUUAAGA
RNAcentral lists this unclassified non-coding RNA (208 nucleotides) under Hevea brasiliensis (rubber tree). The record is from RNAcentral. Lineage: Eukaryota; Viridiplantae; Streptophyta; Magnoliopsida; Malpighiales; Euphorbiaceae.